UACAGAGGGUGCAAGCGUUAAUCGGAGUUACUGGGCGUAAAGGGUGCGUAGGCGGAUAUUCAAGUCAGUUGUGAAAGCCCCGGGCUUAACCUGGGAACUGCAGUUGAUACUGAAUAUCUUGAGUAUGGUAGAGGAGAGUGGAAUUUCCAGUGUAGCGGUGGAAUGCGUAGAUAUUGGAAAGAACACCAGUGGCGAAGGCGGCUCUCUGGACCUAUACUGACGCUGAGGCACGAGAGCGUGGGGAGCAAAC
This 250-nucleotide ribosomal RNA is filed under the name uncultured bacterium. RNAcentral describes it as "partial 16S ribosomal RNA". It matches the Rfam family "Bacterial small subunit ribosomal RNA", at positions 524 to 773 of the family's 1533-position model. The record is from RNAcentral.